GAAUCGCAUGGCCUUGUGCGCGGCGAUGGUUCAUUCAAAUUUCUGCCCUAUCAACUUUCGAUGGUAGGAUAGUGGCCUACCAUGGUUUCAACGGGUAACGGGGAAUUAGGGUUCUAUUCCGGAGAGGGAGCCUGAGAAACGGCUACCACAUCCAAGGAAGGCAGCAGGCGCGCAAAUUACCCAAUCCCGACACGGGGAGGUAGUGACAAUAAAUACUGAUAUAGGGCUCUUUUGGGUCUUGUAAUUGGAAUGAGUACAAUUUAAAUCCCUUAACGAGGAACAAUUGGAGGGCAAGUCUGGUGCC
Molecule: ribosomal RNA, 304 nt
Filed under: uncultured fungus
Lineage: Eukaryota; Fungi
Description: SSU rRNA
Rfam family: Eukaryotic small subunit ribosomal RNA
Source: RNAcentral